Dendrobium catenatum is the source of this 608-nucleotide long non-coding RNA. RefSeq lists it as uncharacterized. The record is from RefSeq and is a predicted model, not a curated record. NCBI's taxonomy places the organism in Eukaryota, Viridiplantae, Streptophyta, Magnoliopsida, Asparagales, Orchidaceae. The transcript is spliced from 2 exons.
UUAGUUGCCUACUCAUCUACGUUGAAUUACUAUAGAAAGAUGAAAUAAUUGGCAACAACUCCGAAAUCAUAUAUACUAUCAUUACAAAGAGGAUUUUUAUUUGAGUCCCUGUCAUAACAAAUUGGUCACUUCCCGGUCUCUUCCUGUAGGGUCCAAUACUCUCAAUCUUUUCUUCUUUAUCUAUUUCAGUCAUAUUCAUUUUUUAUAAAUGUUUAUCGCUAACAUAAGUAUAAUACUCCAAAAUUUUAAGAGGAGAUGGUGGUGUAUGCGGCUUUCUAAUGAUCUCUUGCGGCGGCUAUGAUGGUGGUGGCUACGGCGAAGGCAGUGGGUUGGAGGUCGAGGCAAUUGAGAGGAAGUUGUUGAGGUUGGGGGUGCAAGAAGGCAUGAUUUUUUGAGGGCUUUUGUAUAAAAUUUAGAUCAUAUUGCUGGAUAGGAAGAUCUAGUCAUUCGGAGUUCACUGGAGAUGAUAGAUUACCUAUCAAAAAUCAUAUGAGAGAGAUCAAGGCCAUGAUAGCAGGACUGUUGAUCAAAAUUUAGAUUACAAUUGUAAAAGUCAAAGGUUUGAAUUUUAAACAUGUUUUGGAUAAGUUUGUAUUUUGAAUUUUAAA